UUCUCUCCCAGCGCUGGGAGGGGAGUGGGGGCUGGUGGUUAGGGCUGGGAGGCAGGACUCCUGGGUUCCCUCCCAGCUCUGGGAGGGCAGUACAGGCUAGUGGUUAGAGCAGGGAACAUGAACAUUCACAUUUGCAGCUGGGCUUUGCACUGACGCUCCCUGACUCGUCUCUGUCUCCGCCGGGACACUAGGACAAGAAAAAGGAGAGAGAAAAGCGAAGGGCUCAAAUAAGUGGGGUGCAAAACAGCUUCUCCCCGACCUGGCAACCACACAAGCUGGUCCCCAGGGCGCCGGCAGCGAGGCCGAAGGUGCAGAUCAGCCCCCGCAGGAAAAGCCACAGGAGGACGAAUCCGUCGGGCUUCACGUCCGUGGGUGCUGAACGGGUUACGCUGGAGAGAAAUCCCAGGCGUCUGCUGACAUGACUAGUCACACACGGGGUGAUAACUGGGCGCCUCUGACUCUGACACCGAUUGGGAUUCACCGCUGGGAUGAAGCUUAAACCUCUUGCAAGAAUUUCCGGGACUGAACUCUGAGCUGCAUCACGCAAUUAACUGGGAUACGUUUGGAAAGAAAACAGUAUUUUCCUUGGAUUAAAUCUUACAGGAAUUUCAGUGAUCGAUUGGGGUUAUCGAUCUAAUUCCCACAAUUUCCUUAGAUUAAAUGAUAAACUUCUGGGGCUAAUUUUGAAAGGACGCCUGGAUUAUCUUUAAGAAACUUCAUUUUUCCUAGAGUAGAAUUUUAAAAGAAUUACCAUAAUCUGAUGGGAUUAACAGACACAUUCCCUGGAAUUAAUUUCUAAUCUUCUGAGUUUGAUGCUGAAAUGCGUCACAACAACUUACUACAAUUAUUUUUAAGGACAUUGAAAUAGUUGCCCUGGGAUUAUUAUUUAAUUAAAUUUCAAUUGUUCACAGGAUUAACGAUGACGUUGCAAUAAUUCUGUGUCUUGGACUCGGAAAUAAAUUGGUGUCGGUCACUUGAAUUCAGUUUUAAAUCUGCUGCAGCCAUUUCCACGGAGUAACAGAUACGUUCUCACAACGUCCUCAGAUGAAUGCAUUGAAUCGCAAUUGUGGUGUUGAGAUUAAUGUUAAUGGACUUUCCAAUUAAAUGGCUGGGAGUAUAUUUUUUAAGAAAUUGCAAUGAUUUACUGUGAUUUUUUUAAACUGCAACAAUUGUUUCAGGAUUUGGUUUAAAGAAAUUGCAAUAAUUCUGCUGAGAAUCUCAAAUCCAUUGCAACAUUUGGCUGGUAAUUACAAAGAACUGCAUUCAUUUCCUAGGAACCAGACUGUAAUCAUUUAGUUUAAUUAACUAUUAAAUAGUAAUUUAGUACCAUUAACUCUUAAAUAAAUUGCAACGAAUUGCUGACUUUACUGUUAAAGAGACUGAAAUUAUUCAGUGGGACGAACUCUUAAAUACUUUGCAAUAUUUCAGCAGGAUUAUUUCAAACUGGGAUUAUAUUUUAAAGGAACCGCAAAAAGUCAGUGGAUUUUGCAGUAAUUUUCAAGGAAUAACCAAAUAAAUUAUCUUUAUUAGCAGCAAUUAAAUUAUAAAGAAAAAGAGUUUAUUAGGGUUACUCGAAUGGUGAAUUAAUUUGCUGAAAUUAUAUUUUAAAUUACAAGCGUUGCCUGGGAUGAAUAUUUAAAUAUUGCAAAAUAAUUAAUAUUUAAAUGUGGAAGAUUAGCUCCUAAACUUCCUCCAUGUACUCGGAUUAAUUUGAAUCAAUUUCUCUCAGUUUCUAGGAUUAAUUCUUUGAAGACGUGGCAAGAAUUUGCAAAGGGCGAACAAAGAAAUGGCCUCACUUGGCUCGGAUUUGCUCAAAGAAAUUGCAAUAGUUUCGGGUUGAUUUAAAUACUUUGCCGUAACGUCCUAGUAACAAAGAAAUCGCCACAAUCGGCUGAUACCGGUCGUAAGAAAAGCUCGUGAAUUAAACUACAUGAAGUUUUAAAUAGUUUUCCCGGUUUCAUUCAGAACUUGCAGCCUGUUUCCGGGGCUUAGCUGUGAACAUGUAAUAAUGAACUGGGCUCAAUCGUUAAAUCCUGUAUCGUUAUUUCCUGGCCUGAGCUGUGAAAAUGUAACGGCUCCGGACGGUACCAGAUGAAUUGAGACGUGAGACGGACGGAGCCGCUCGCUGAGCAAUGGGCCACGUUGGUUACU
Mauremys mutica (yellowpond turtle) is the source of this 2151-nucleotide long non-coding RNA. RefSeq lists it as uncharacterized. Lineage: Eukaryota; Metazoa; Chordata; Testudines; Geoemydidae. The record is from RefSeq and is a predicted model, not a curated record. The transcript is spliced from 3 exons.